GGCCUGGUAAUAUAGCGGUAACACACCCUCCCUGAAUUCGCGUUACUGGAGUUUUCCGAGGGUUCUUUGUUCGAAUCAAAGCCAGGCCA
This is a non-coding RNA of Mycena capillaripes, 89 nucleotides long. Lineage: Eukaryota; Fungi; Basidiomycota; Agaricomycetes; Agaricales; Mycenaceae. The record is from the annotation of a GenBank genome assembly.